This 468-nucleotide ribosomal RNA is filed under the name uncultured bacterium. RNAcentral describes it as "partial 16S ribosomal RNA". It matches the Rfam family "Bacterial small subunit ribosomal RNA", at positions 28 to 507 of the family's 1533-position model. The record is from RNAcentral.
GACGAACGCUGGCGGCGUGCUUAACACAUGCAAGUCGAACGGAAAGGCCCUGCUUUUGUGGGGUGCUCGAGUGGCGAACGGGUGAGUAACACGUGAGUAACCUGCCCUUGACUUUGGGAUAACUUCAGGAAACUGGGGCUAAUACCGGAUAGGAGCUCCUGCUGCAUGGUGGGGGUUGGAAAGUUUCGGCGGUUGGGGAUGGACUCGCGGCUUAUCAGCUUGUUGGUGGGGUAGUGGCUUACCAAGGCUUUGACGGGUAGCCGGCCUGAGAGGGUGACCGGCCACAUGGGGACUGAGAUACGGCCCAGACUCCUACGGGAGGCAGCAGUGGGGAGUAUUACACAAUGGGCGGAAGCCUGAUGCAGCAACGCCGCGUGCGGGAUGACGGCCUUCGGGUUGUGAACCGCUUUCGCCUGUGACGAAGCGUGAGUGACGGUAAUGGGUAAAGAAGCACCGGCUAACUACGUG